RNAcentral lists this ribosomal RNA (465 nucleotides) under uncultured bacterium. Its description in RNAcentral is "partial 16S ribosomal RNA". It matches the Rfam family "Bacterial small subunit ribosomal RNA", at positions 28 to 507 of the family's 1533-position model. The record is from RNAcentral.
GACGAACGCUGGCGGCGUGCUUAACACAUGCAAGUCGAACGGAAAGGCCCUGCUUGCAGGGUACUCGAGUGGCGAACGGGUGAGUAACACGUGGGUGAUCUGCCCUGCACUUCGGGAUAAGCCUGGGAAACUGGGUCUAAUACCGGAUAGGAGCCAUUUUUAGUGUGAUGGUUGGAAAGUUUUUUCGGUGUAGGAUGAGCUCGCGGCCUAUCAGCUUGUUGGUGGGGUAAUGGCCUACCAAGGCGGCGACGGGUAGCCGGCCUGAGAGGGUGGACGGCCACAAUGGGACUGAGAUACGGCCCAGACUCCUACGGGGGGCAGCAGUGGGGAAUAUUGCACAAUGGGCGCAAGCCUGAUGCAGCGACGCCGCGUGGGGGAUGACGGCCUUCGGGUUGGAAACUCCUUUCGCUAGGGACGAAGCUUUUUGUGACGGUACCUAGAUAAGAAGCACCGGCUAACUACGUG